This 71-nucleotide transfer RNA is filed under the name bacterium. Its description in RNAcentral is "tRNA-His". It matches the Rfam family "tRNA". Rfam says of the family: Transfer RNA (tRNA) molecules are approximately 80 nucleotides in length. The record is from RNAcentral.
GAGGCAUUGGUGUAGUGGUAACACGGCAGGUUGUGGACCUGUUGUCAUGGGUUCGAAUCCCAUAUGCCUCC